UACGUAGGGUGCGAGCGUUACUCGGAAUUACUGGGCGUAAAGCGUGCGCAGGCGGUUCGUGAUGUCUGGUGUGAAAGCCCCGGGCUCAGCCCGGGAAGGGCGCUCGAAACGGCGCGGCUCGAGUGCCGGAGGGGAGAGUGGAAUUCCUGGUGUAGCGGUGAAAUGCGUAGAUAUCAGGAGGAACACCCGUGGCGAAAGCGGCUCUCUGGGACGGUACUGACGCUGAGACGCGAAAGCCAGGGGAGCGAACGGG
Molecule: ribosomal RNA, 253 nt
Filed under: uncultured bacterium
Lineage: Bacteria
Description: partial 16S ribosomal RNA
Rfam family: Bacterial small subunit ribosomal RNA
Source: RNAcentral